GACGAACGCUGGCGGCGUGCUUAACACAUGCAAGUCGAACGGCAAGGCCCUGCUUUUGUGGGGUGCUCGAGUGGCGAACGGGUGAGUAACACGUGAGUAACCUGCCCUUGACUUUGGGAUAACUUCAGGAAACUGGGGCUAAUACCGGAUAGGAGCUCCUGCUGCAUGGUGGGGGUUGGAACGUUUCGGCGGUUGGGGAUGGACUCGCGGCUUAUCAGCUUGUUGGUGGGGUAGUGGCUUACCCAGGCUUUGACGGGUAGCCGGCCUGAGAGGGUGACCGGCCACAUUGGGACUGAGAUACGGCCCAGACUGCUACGGGAGGCAGCAGUGGGGAAUAUUGCACAAUGGGCGGAAGCCUGAUGCAGCAACGCCGCGUGCGGGAUGACGGCCUUCGGGUUGUAAACCGCUUUCGCCUGUGACGAAGCGUGAGUGACGGUAAUGGGUAAAGAAGCACCGGCUAACUACGUG
Molecule: ribosomal RNA, 468 nt
Filed under: uncultured bacterium
Lineage: Bacteria
Description: partial 16S ribosomal RNA
Rfam family: Bacterial small subunit ribosomal RNA
Source: RNAcentral